GUUGUAUAGUCAAGUAAUUAAGUGCAUGUGGUGGAUGCCUUGGCAGUCAGAGGCGAUGAAAGACGUGAUAGCCUGCGAAAAGCUCCGGGGAGGCGGCAAAUAUCCUUUGAUCCGGAGAUAUCUGAAUGGGGGAACCCACCUACUUUAAGGUAGGUAUUGCAACAUGAAUACAUAGUGUUGCAAGGCGAACGAGGGGAAGUGAAACAUCUCAGUACCCUUAGGAAAAGAAAUCAAUUGAGAUUCCCUCAGUAGCGGCGAGCGAACGGGGAUCAGCCCAUUAAGUUAUGUGUGUUUUAGUGGAACGCUCUGGGAAGUGCGAACGUAGAGGGUGAUAUUCCCGUACACGAAAGGGCACACAUAAUGAUGACGAGUAGGGCGAGGCACGUGAAACCUUGUCUGAAUAUGGGGGGACCAUCCUCCAAGGCUAAAUACUCCUGACUGACCGAUAGUGAACCAGUACCGUGAGGGAAAGGCGAAAAGAACCCCUGUGAGGGGAGUGAAAUAGAUCCUGAAACCGCAUGCAUACAAGCAGUGGGAGCACCUUCGUGGUGUGACUGCGUACCUUUUGUAUAAUGGGUCAGCGACUUAUAUUCAGUAGCGAGGUUAACCGUAUAGGGGAGCCGUAGAGAAAUCGAGUCUUAAUAGGGCGUUUAGUUGCUGGGUAUAGACCCGAAACCAGGCGAUCUAUCCAUGAGCAGGUUGAAGGUUGGGUAACACUAACUGGAGGACCGAACCCACUGUCGUUGAAAAGCCAGGGGAUGACUUGUGGAUAGGGGUGAAAGGCUAAUCAAGCCUGGUGAUAGCUGGUUCUCCCCGAAAGCUAUUUAGGUAGCGCCUCGGACGAAUACCAUAGGGGGUAGAGCACUGUUUCGGCUAGGGGGUCAUCCCGACUUACCAAACCGAUGCAAACUCCGAAUACCUAUGAGUACUAUCCGGGAGACAGACUGCGGGUGCUAACGUCCGUAGUCAAGAGGAAAACAAUCCAGACCGCCAGCUAAGGCCCCAAAAUCAUAGUUAAGUGGGAAACGAUGUGGGAAGGCAUAGACAGCUAGGAGGUUGGCUUAGAAGCAGCCACCCUUUAAAGAAAGCGUAAUAGCUCACUAGUCGAGUCGGCCUGCGCGGAAGAUGUAACGGGGCUAAAACUAUGUGCCGAAGCUGCGGAUGUAUACUUUGUAUACGUGGUAGGGGAGCGUUCUGUAAGCCGAUGAAGGUGUGUUGAGAAGCAUGCUGGAGGUAUCAGAAGUGCGAAUGCUGACGUGAGUAACGACAAAACGGGUGAAAAACCCGUUCGCCGAAAGACCAAGGGUUCCAGUCCAACGUUAAUCGGGGCUGGGUGAGUCGACCCCUAAGGCGAGGCCGAAAGGCGUAGUCGAUGGGAAAAUGGUUAAUAUUCCAUUACUUCUGUGUAAUGCGAUGAGAGGACGGAGAAGGCUAAAUCAGCCUGGCGUUGGUUGUCCAGGUGAAAGGAUGUAGGCAUGUAUCUUAGGCAAAUCCGGGGUACUCUAUGCUGAGAUCUGAUAGCAAGCUGUACUUGUACAGCGAAGUGGUUGAUGCCAUGCUUCCAGGAAAAGUCUCUAAGCUUCAGUUACACAGGAAUCGUACCCGAAACCGACACAGGUGGUCAGGUCGAGUAGACCAAGGCGCUUGAGAGAACUCUGCUGAAGGAACUAGGCAAAAUGGUACCGUAACUUCGGGAGAAGGUACGCUGUUGUUGGUGAUGGAACUCGCUUCCUGAGCUGACGACAGCCGCAGAAACCAGGCCGCUGCAACUGUUUAUUAAAAACAUAGCACUCUGCAAACACGAAAGUGGACGUAUAGGGUGUGAUGCCUGCCCGGUGCUGGAAGGUUAAUUGAUGGGGUUAGCGUAAGCGAAGCUCUUGAUCGAAGCCCCAGUAAACGGCGGCCGUAACUAUAACGGUCCUAAGGUAGCGAAAUUCCUUGUCGGGUAAGUUCCGACCUGCACGAAUGGCAUAAUGAUGGCGGCGCUGUCUCCAGCAGAGGCUCAGUGAAAUCGAAAUCGCUGUGAAGAUGCAGUGUACCCGCGGCUAGACGGAAAGACCCCGUGAACCUUUACUGCAGCUUGACACUGAACUUUGACCUUACUUGUGUAGGAUAGGUGGGAGGCUUUGAAGCUGGAACGCUAGUUCCAGUGGAGCCGUCCUUGAAAUACCACCCUGGUAAUGUUGAGGUUCUAACUCUGUCCCGUGAUCCGGGACGAGGACCGUGUCUGGUGGGUAGUUUGACUGGGGCGGUCUCCUCCUAAAGAGUAACGGAGGAGUACGAAGGUGCGCUCAGCGUGGUCGGAAAUCACGCGUAGAGUAUAAAGGCAAAAGCGCGCUUAACUGCGAGACCCACAAGUCGAGCAGGUACGAAAGUAGGUCUUAGUGAUCCGGUGGUUCUGUAUGGAAGGGCCAUCGCUCAACGGAUAAAAGGUACUCUGGGGAUAACAGGCUGAUACCGCCCAAGAGUUCAUAUCGACGGCGGUGUUUGGCACCUCGAUGUCGGCUCAUCUCAUCCUGGGGCUGAAGCAGGUCCCAAGGGUAUGGCUGUUCGCCAUUUAAAGAGGUACGCGAGCUGGGUUUAGAACGUCGUGAGACAGUUCGGUCCCUAUCUACCGUGGGCGCUGGAAAUUUGAGAGGAUCUGCUCCUAGUACGAGAGGACCAGAGUGGACGAACCUCUGGUGUACCGGUUGUGACGCCAGUCGCAUCGCCGGGUAGCUAUGUUCGGAAGGGAUAACCGCUGAAAGCAUCUAAGCGGGAAGCCUACCUCAAGAUAAGAUUUCCCUAGGACUUUAUGUCCUCUAAAGAGCCGUUCGAGACUAGGACGUUGAUAGGUUGGAUGUGGAAGCAUAGUGAUAUGUGAAGCUGACCAAUACUAAUUGCUCGUGAGGCUUGACUAUACAACACCCAAGCAGUUG
This 2918-nucleotide ribosomal RNA is filed under the name Acinetobacter baumannii. Its description in RNAcentral is "bacterial LSU rRNA". It matches the Rfam family "Bacterial large subunit ribosomal RNA". Lineage: Bacteria; Pseudomonadati; Pseudomonadota; Gammaproteobacteria; Moraxellales; Moraxellaceae. The record is from RNAcentral.